GACGUAGGGCGCGAGCGUUGUCCGGAUUUAUUGGGCGUAAAGAGCUCGUAGGCGGCUUGUUGCGUCGGCUGUGAAAUCCCGUGGCUUAACUGCGGGCUUGCAGCUGAUACGGGCGGGCUAGAGUUCGGUAGGGGAGACUGGAAUUCCUGGUGUAGCGGUGAAAUGCGCAGAUAUCAGGAGGAACACCGGUGGCGAAGGCGGGUCUCUGGGCCGAUACUGACGCUGAGGAGCGAAAGCGUGGGGAGCGAACAGG
RNAcentral lists this ribosomal RNA (253 nucleotides) under uncultured bacterium. RNAcentral describes it as "partial 16S ribosomal RNA". It matches the Rfam family "Bacterial small subunit ribosomal RNA", at positions 524 to 776 of the family's 1533-position model. The record is from RNAcentral.